Molecule: ribosomal RNA, 384 nt
Filed under: Triticum aestivum (bread wheat)
Lineage: Eukaryota; Viridiplantae; Streptophyta; Magnoliopsida; Poales; Poaceae
Description: partial small subunit ribosomal RNA
Source: RNAcentral
AUGUCCACCUCCAGCCAAACUCCAUCCAUUGCCCUUACCAACACCACAUCCGAGCCCCUCACAAGAACCAACUACAUCCUAUGGAGAGCCCAAGUUCGCUCCCAGAUCAUGGGUGCUGGGCUAUAUGGGUAUAUAGAUCAAACCACACCCGAGCCAAACAAAACCAUCAUCACCAAGACCUCAGAAGGAAAGGAUCAAAUCGCUCCUAACCCUGAAUACAAACCAUGGCUGAUUCAAGAUCAGCAGAUCGUAGCCUUCCUCCUUCGUAAUCUCUCGAAGGAGGUCCUGAUUCAAGUUGCCUCCCUAGAAACCUCGCAUGCCAUAUGGUCAGCCCUAGCAAAUAUGUUCGCUACCCAAUCCCGUUCUCGUGUGAACAACUGCCGC